UACUCCUACGGGAGGCAGCAGUAGGGAAUCUUCCACAAUGGACGCAAGUCUGAUGGAGCAACGCCGCGUGAGUGAAGAAGGCUUUCGGGUCGUAAAACUCUGUUGUUGGAGAAGAAUGGUCGGCAGAGUAACUGUUGUCGGCGUGACGGUGUCCAACCAGAAAGCCACGGCUAACUACGUGCCAGCAGCCGCGGUAAUACGUAGGUGGCAAGCGUUAUCCGGAUUUAUUGGGCGUAAAGCGAGCGCAGGCGGUUUUUUAAGUCUGAUGUGAAAGCCCUCGGCUUAACCGAGGAAGUGCAUCGGAAACUGGGAAACUUGAGUGCAGAAGAGGACAGUGGAACUCCAUGUGUAGCGGUGAAAUGCGUAGAUAUAUGGAAGAACACCAGUGGCGAAGGCGGCUGUCUGGUCUGUAACUGACGCUGAGGCUCGAAAGCAUGGGUAGCGAACAGGAUUAGAUACCCUGGUAGUCCAUGCCGUAAACGAUGAAUGCUAGGUGUUGGAGGGUUUCCGCCCUUCAGUGCCGCAGCUAACGCAUUAAGCAUUCCGCCUGGGGAGUACGACCGCAAGGUUGAAACUCAAAGGAAUUGACGGA
RNAcentral lists this ribosomal RNA (592 nucleotides) under uncultured bacterium. Its description in RNAcentral is "bacterial SSU rRNA". It matches the Rfam family "Bacterial small subunit ribosomal RNA", at positions 334 to 917 of the family's 1533-position model. The record is from RNAcentral.